This 756-nucleotide ribosomal RNA is filed under the name uncultured bacterium. RNAcentral describes it as "bacterial SSU rRNA". It matches the Rfam family "Bacterial small subunit ribosomal RNA", at positions 8 to 796 of the family's 1533-position model. The record is from RNAcentral.
AGAGUUUGAUCCUGGCUCAGAAUCAACGCUGGCGGCGCGCCUAACACAUGCAAGUCGAACGAGAAAGUGGAGCAAUCCAUGAGUACAGUGGCGUACGGGUGAGUAACACGUGGGUAAUCUACCUCUUAGUGGGGAAUAACUUUGGGAAACCGAAGCUAAUACCGCAUAAGCUCGAGAGAGGAAAGCAGCAAUGCGCUGAGAGAGGAGCCCGCGGCCGAUUAGCUAGUUGGCAGGGUAAAAGCCUACCAAGGCAUAGAUCGGUAGCCGGCCUGAGAGGGCACACGGCCACACUGGCACUGAAACACGGGCCAGACUCCUACGGGAGGCAGCAGUGGGGAAUCUUGCACAAUGGGGGAAACCCUGAUGCAGCGACGCCGCGUGAGCGAUGAAGCCCUUCGGGGUGUAAAGCUCUUUCGGCAGGGAAGAUAGUGACGGUACCUGCAGAAGCAGCUGCGGCUAACUACGUGCCAGCAGCCGCGGUAAUACGUAGGCAGCGAGCGUUGUUCGGAGUUACUGGGCGUAAAGGGUGUGUAGGCGGUUGUUUAAGUUUGGUGUGAAAUCUCCCGGCUCAACUGGGAGGGUGCGCCGAAUACUGAGCGACUAGAGUGCGGGAGAGGAAAGUGGAAUUCCUGGUGUAGCGGUGAAAUGCGUAGAUAUCAGGAGGAACACCGGUGGUGUAGACGGCUUUCUGGACCGUAACUGACGCUGAGACACGAAAGCGUGGGUAGCAAACAGGAUUAGAUACCCUAGUAGUCC